RNAcentral lists this ribosomal RNA (333 nucleotides) under Triticum aestivum (bread wheat). Its description in RNAcentral is "partial small subunit ribosomal RNA". The record is from RNAcentral. Lineage: Eukaryota; Viridiplantae; Streptophyta; Magnoliopsida; Poales; Poaceae.
AUGGCUACUACCUCAUACGAGACUCUAUGUGUGAUCAGGUGCUUGGACUGGAGCCACGGGACAGCUACAUUCAAUGGCCAAGAUGGCGAGGACACCAAGCAUGAAGAUCAAGAAGAAGAGCUGCUUUGGAAGCUACAGGCCCCAGACGAUCGGCCUGGCCUAGACGUUAGACCCUUGGAGGACGCUACAGCCAAGGGAAGAGAAGCCAGCCAGAGCUGCAGGCUUCGGAUGACCUGCCCAGUCCGGACGUCCGGCCACUCCCAGGCUCCGGACGACCGAGCCCUUCCGGACAUCCGGCACUUCUCCAACGAAACCAAAUCUAUGGAAUUCUGA